Long non-coding RNA from Hippocampus zosterae (dwarf seahorse), 863 nucleotides. RefSeq lists it as uncharacterized. The transcript is spliced from 2 exons. NCBI's taxonomy places the organism in Eukaryota, Metazoa, Chordata, Actinopteri, Syngnathiformes, Syngnathidae. The record is from RefSeq and is a predicted model, not a curated record.
CGCGGAAUAAAAUCCUAUGCAUUAACAUUUUGACAACGAUAUUACGUGUUACCAGAAGUUGUGUAAGCGGAAAUUCCACUACCCGUAACCUGGAUGGAGGUAUAAUGCCGCCAGAGCUUAAAUACACGCAACGCCCACCCGAUGCAAUGGAAAAGACUGACGCUGAAACAAGUUUUCACUUCGCGUUUUUCGAUCAUCAGAUUCUAAACGACGACGUGUAAGUGAGUUUUUAUUGCAGUGCGUUUUACUGUAAUCGUGAAUGAUUUUAACUUUAUUCACUUACUUCCUGGAGAACGCGGCACUAUCUUAAAAGCAGCACCCACUCGACAUGACCGAAGAAAUGUGCUCGGUUUGCCGUUUUCAUUCAUCAGAUUCGAAACGAAGAUGUAUCAUCGCAUCGAAACGUAGAAGAACUGUAACGACUGGAGCGGAGCGAGUGAAAUGCAUCGGUUUGAGCGAGGCUGGACACAACGUUAAAAAGAUCCAGCAGACACUUGGAGUCGGAAAGACGCAAAUCUACGAAACUUUAAAAAACAAGGCAUCGAUAAACUUCUGAUGAUAAGCCACCAUCCAGCAAGGAAGCAAUGCAAAUGGCAACAAAAAUCCUUCAGUAUGCACAAGAAUUACCAGACAUCGGUGACCAAUGGGACAGUUACUUGCAACUAGCAAGAAAACUGUAUGACACGCAGGCAAACAUUGUCAUAAACCAAAGAAUGCAUCCAACAAAACAAUCCAAAAUACAUUUUUUUUCCCGAGACAGAAAAAAUAAACAUUAAAAUACUGUAUGUAUUUUACUGUUGUGAUUUUUUUUUUUGGAUACACCUGUAUUGCAGUUUUUGUUAUAUAAACAGUUUUUGGACAGU